Molecule: ribosomal RNA, 461 nt
Filed under: uncultured Sulfurospirillum sp.
Lineage: Bacteria; Pseudomonadati; Campylobacterota; Epsilonproteobacteria; Campylobacterales; Sulfurospirillaceae
Description: bacterial SSU rRNA
Rfam family: Bacterial small subunit ribosomal RNA
Source: RNAcentral
ACAAGCGGUGGAGCAUGUGGUUUAAUUCGAAGAUACGCGAAAAACCUUACCUGGCCUUGAUAUCCUUCAAAUACCUGUAGAGAGUACGGAGUGCUAGCUUGCUAGAAUGAAGUGACAGGUGCUGCACGGCUGUCGUCAGCUCGUGUCGUGAGGUGUUGGGUUAAGUCCCGCAACGAGCGCAACCCUCGUGUUUAGUUGCUAACAGUUCGGCUGAGCACUCUAAACAGACUGCCUUCGUAAGGAGGAGGAAGGUGAGGACGACGUCAAGUCAUCAUGGCCCUUAUGGCCAGGGCUACACACGUGCUACAAUGGAUAGGACAAUGAGACGCAAUACCGCGAGGUGGAGCAAAUCUAUAAACCUAUUCUCAGUUCGGAUUGUUCUCUGCAACUCGAGAACAUGAAGCUGGAAUCGCUAGUAAUCGUAGAUCAGCAUUGCUACGGUGAAUACGUUCCCGGGUCUU